This 247-nucleotide unclassified non-coding RNA is filed under the name Schizothecium glutinans. RNAcentral's name for it is "sequence contains 5.8S rRNA gene". The stretch from base 1 to 53 matches the Rfam family "5.8S ribosomal RNA", at positions 102 to 154 of the family's 154-position model. Lineage: Eukaryota; Fungi; Ascomycota; Sordariomycetes; Sordariales; Schizotheciaceae. The record is from RNAcentral.
GAACGCACAUUGCGCCCGCUAGUAUUCUGGCGGGCAUGCCUGUUCGAGCGUCAUUUCAACCAUCAAGCGCCUGCGCUUGUGUUGGAGCCCUGCGGCUGCCGCAGGCUCCCAAACCCAGUGGCGGGCUCGUCGUCGUACCGAGUGCAGUAAACUUACCACGCUCAGGGCGCGCGACGGGUGACCGGCCGUAAAACCCCCAACUUAUCAAGGUUGACCUCGGAUCAGGUAGGAAUACCCGCUGAACUUA